Microcebus murinus (gray mouse lemur) is the source of this 278-nucleotide non-coding RNA. NCBI's taxonomy places the organism in Eukaryota, Metazoa, Chordata, Mammalia, Primates, Cheirogaleidae. The record is from RefSeq and is a predicted model, not a curated record.
AACGCUGGGACUGUGGUGCAUAACUCAAUAAACUCUACAUUUGAUCUCCACUUACUCCUGUUUCACAGCCCAAUAGUUGAGCAGUUUCUCAAAGGCUGUAACUCCAUUCGGCUCCUGGUAGUUCAGCAGUGGGAAAUGAGCGGAAUCUCCAUUUGCCAUCUGCUCUCUCCAACUGGGUUCUGAAAAUCUGAGCUUCAUGAAUAAACCAAUGAAAGCAAGUGGAGGUAACUCAACACAUGAAGACCGUACUUGCAGCAAAGGCAAGAGCAAAGUUCAAG